CCUACGGGAGGCAGCAGUGAGGAAUAUUGGUCAAUGGGCGCGAGCCUGAACCAGCCAAGUCGCGUGAAGGAAGACUGCCCUACGGGUUGUAAACUUCUUUUGUAAGGGAAUAAAGUGAGGGACGUGUGCCCUUUUGUAUGUACUUUAAGAAUAAGGAUCGGCUAACUCCGUGCCAGCAGCCGCGGUAAUACGGAGGAUCCGAGCGUUAUCCGGAUUUAUUGGGUUUAAAGGGAGCGGAGGGGGGUUGUUAAGUUAGGUGUGAAAGUGUGGGGCCUAACCGUACAAUUGCAGUUGAUACUGGCUGUCUAGAGUAGAGUAGAGGUAGGCGGAAUUCGUGGUGUAGCGGUGAAAUGCGUAGAUAUCACGAAGAACUCCGAUUGCGAAGGCAGCAUACU
This 395-nucleotide ribosomal RNA is filed under the name uncultured bacterium. Its description in RNAcentral is "partial 16S ribosomal RNA". It matches the Rfam family "Bacterial small subunit ribosomal RNA", at positions 338 to 730 of the family's 1533-position model. The record is from RNAcentral.